RNAcentral lists this unclassified non-coding RNA (660 nucleotides) under Patiria miniata (bat star). Its description in RNAcentral is "tRNA (uracil(54)-C(5))-methyltransferase homolog, transcript variant X1". Lineage: Eukaryota; Metazoa; Echinodermata; Asteroidea; Valvatida; Asterinidae. The record is from RNAcentral.
CCCGUCAGUCUGCUCAUAGCCCCGGGGAUGAUGUGUCCGUCUCCGAUGGCUGCUGUGACUGGGGGACUAUGAGUGUGUUUUUGGUCCAACGUAAUAACACCAAAAUGGAUGAGAAGCAGGGACCAACUUCUGAUGAUGUCCCAACUGGGGAGGUAACGUCAACCACAGUUACAGAGGGUGAUGUUGUCAAGAUGCCAACAGAUGUGGCCAUCACUAUGGAUGCUAUUCCCAAUGAAGAUGAGGAGGACAAAUCCAAAGGUCUUGACCCACAAGAUAACCAUUGCCCCAGCACCUCUGACGUACCAGUGACUGGUGCUGCCAUGACGGAUCCUUAUCACUAUCUGACACAACAGCACUUCACCUCAGAGAUCUUCAAGAUUGAGAUCCAAAACCUCCCAAGAUAUUUUGGAUUUGCGGUUAAACAACAUGCUGACUCCACUGUGGAACCAGCCGUAUGAGGACCAGCUAUCCACCAAAUAGACCAACACCAGGGAGUUUCUGAGGAAUUUCCAAGAUGCUGCAACGGAACAUUGGGGAGAUGUCUCCCUGGCUGAAGCAACAAAUCCAGUAUUAGAGAGUUAUCGCAACAAGUGUGAGUUUACCAUCGGCAAGAGUGUAGAUGGCAUUGGUCUUGACCCACAAGAUAACCAUUCCACCAGC